RNAcentral lists this ribosomal RNA (1517 nucleotides) under metagenome. RNAcentral describes it as "bacterial SSU rRNA". It matches the Rfam family "Bacterial small subunit ribosomal RNA". The record is from RNAcentral.
AGAGUUUGAUCCUGGCUCAGAACGAACACUGGCGGCGUGGAUUAGGCAUGCAAGUCGAACGAGAAAGUUUCCUUCGGGAAACGAGUACAGUGGCGAACGGGUGAGUAACGCGUGGGAAAUCUGCCCUUUAAUGGGGGAUAACAGUUCUAACGAGCUGCUAAUACCGCAUAAGAUCCUUAGAUCGCAUGAUCCGGGGAUGAAAGAUGGCCUCUACAUGUAAGCUGUCGUUGAAGGAUGAUCCCGCGUCCCAUUAGCUUGUUGGUGGGGUAAAAGCCUACCAAGGCGACGAUGGGUAACCGGCCUGAGAGGGUGUCCGGCCACACUGGGACUGAGAUACGGCCCAGACUCCUACGGGAGGCAGCAGUCGAGAAGCUUCCGCAAUGGGGGAAACCCUGACGGAGCGACGCCGCGUGAGUGAAGAAGGCCCUCUGGGUUGUAAAGCUCUGUCAGAUUGGGAAGAAAACUCUGCGGGUAAUAUCCGUAGAGCUUGACGGUGCCAUCAGAGGAAGCACCGGCUAACUCCGUGCCAGCAGCCGCGGUAAUACGGAGGGUGCAAGCGUUGUUCGGAUUCACUGGGUAUAAAGGGUGCGCAGGCGGCCCAAUAAGUCAGAGGUGAAAUAUGACGGCUCAACCGUCAAACGGCCCCUGAAACUGUUGGGCUUGAGUUCGAGAGAGGUAGGUGGAAUUCCAGGUGUAGCGGUGAAAUGCGUAAAUAUCUGGAGGAACACCGGUGGCGAAGGCGGCCUACUGGCUCGAUACUGACGCUCAGGCACGAAAGCAUGGGGAGCGAACGGGAUUAGAUACCCCGGUAGUCCAUGCCGUAAACGAUGGGUACUAGGUGUUGGGGGAGUCUACCCCCUCAGUGCUGCAGCUAACGCAUUAAGUACCCCACCUGGGGAGUACGAUCGCAAGGUUGAAACUCAAAGGAAUUGACGGGGGCCCGCACAAGCGGUGGAGCAUGUGGUUUAAUUCGAUGCAACGCGAAGAACCUUACCUGGGCUUGACAUGCAGGGGACAGGUAUAGAAAUAUACCCUUCUUCGGACUCCUGUACAGGUGCUGCAUGGCUGUCGUCAGCUCGUGUCGUGAAAUGUUGGGUUAAGUCCCGCAACGAGCGCAACCCUUGUCUUUAGUUGCCAUCAGGUAAUGCUGGGGACUCUAGAGAGACUGCCGGUGACAAACCGGAGGAAGGUGGGGACGACGUCAAGUCAUCAUGGCCCUUACGCCCAGGGCUACACACGUGCUACAAUGGUCGGUACAAUGGGCUGCAAUACAGUGAUGUGGAGCGAAUCCCAAAAAGCUGGCCUCAGUUCGGAUCGUAGUCUGCAACUCGACUACGUGAAGUUGGAAUCGCUAGUAAUCGCGUAUCAGAACGACGCGGUGGAUACGUUCCCGGGCCUUGUACACACCGCCCGUCAAGUCAACCGAGUUGGUUGCACCCCAAGUCGCUGAGCUAACCCGUAAGGGAGGCAAGUGCCCAAGGUGUGAUUGGCGAGGGGGACUAAGUCGUAACAAGGUA